Molecule: microRNA precursor, 62 nt
Filed under: Limulus polyphemus (Atlantic horseshoe crab)
Lineage: Eukaryota; Metazoa; Arthropoda; Merostomata; Xiphosura; Limulidae
Description: Lpo-Mir-2-P1j_pre stem-loop
Source: RNAcentral
CAUCAAAGAAGCUGUGGAAUGUGUUCUAACUUUGUAUCAUAUCACAGCCAUCUUUGAUGAGC